AGUGAACGCUGGCGGUAGGCCUAACACAUGCAAGUCGAACGGCAGCACAGGAGAGCUUGCUCUCUGGGUGGCGAGUGGCGGACGGGUGAGGAAUACAUCGGAAUCUGCUCAGUCGUGGGGGAUAACGCAGGGAAACUUACGCUAAUACCGCAUACGACCUUCGGGUGAAAGUGGGGGAUCGCAAGACCUCUCGCGUUUGGAUGAGCCGAUGUCGGAUUAGCUAGUUGGUGGGGUAAUGGCCCACCAAGGCGACGAUCCGUAGCUGGUCUGAGAGGAUGAUCAGCCACACUGGAACUGAGACACGGUCCAGACUCCUACGGGAGGCAGCAGUGGGGAAUAUUGGACAAAGGGCGCAAGCCUGAUCCAGCCAUACCGCGUGGGUGAAGAAGGCCUUCGGGUUGUAAAGCCCUUUUGUUGGGAAAGAAAUCUUUCAGGCUAAUACCCUGGGAGGAUGACGGUACCCAAAGAAUAAGCACCGGCUAACUUCGUG
Molecule: ribosomal RNA, 490 nt
Filed under: uncultured bacterium
Lineage: Bacteria
Description: partial 16S ribosomal RNA
Rfam family: Bacterial small subunit ribosomal RNA
Source: RNAcentral